Molecule: long non-coding RNA, 1511 nt
Organism: Papaver somniferum (opium poppy)
Lineage: Eukaryota; Viridiplantae; Streptophyta; Magnoliopsida; Ranunculales; Papaveraceae
Exons: 6
Source: RefSeq, a predicted model, not a curated record
CUCUUCACUUUAAUUUACCUCUUCCUAAUAUAGCAACCAUCGUUAUCAUCUUCAUCAGAUUCAAGCCUUCAUUGUUGUCGUCGAAUAAGAAAGCUAUCCUCAUACCAGCACAUGAACUGUUUCUUCUCCUUUUUCAUUUCACUUUUAUGAAAUAAACCUAGAUUCAGAGCUUUUUCUUCCCCUUCAAAAUCUUUAACCCGAUCUGGAUUAUUUAGAUAAACACAAAAACACAAUCUCUAGGACUCAAACUAGCAGUACAGGGAGAGGGCAGUGCUAUUAUGAUUUCUUAGACUCCCUAAAAUUAAAUCUCAACUGAAAACCCUAGAUUUGGUCAUGACCAUAUUGAAAACUUCGUCUUCUUCUCGUUUGAAUGAUUUUUUAUCUACCGUUUCAUCUUCUUCGUUGUGGAUUCCGCGAAUCAACUUCAGUAAAUAUAGUUAGGGUUUUCAUGUUUCUCUUUUUGAUUUGAAGGUAGAAACUAAUCUCUUUUAAAUUCUUUUUCAAUAUGUUCUGAUGGGUGAUUGAAGCAUGAAUAUCAGUUCUAAUGGGUUUAAGAGAUUGGGUUUUCCUCAAUUUUGAGUCUACAGUUAGGUUACAGGGCUGUGAAGAUGGUGGAGUUGAUCUGGAGUUAUAGGAACAAGAAUUUGUGGUAUAUGAUGAUGAUGUAUGAAGUUGUUUAUGGUCCUGCUUGAUGAUGAUGGGAAAAUGCCAUAGCAUAUUUCCAGUAUUUUAUGAGCAGCCUACAAACAUAAUUGGACUAAUUCUGAGACAAGGUUGUGGUGGUUAUAAGGAUCGGACAGCGAUUGUUUGAUGUUUAUGAAUUCUGCGAAGGUAUUUGUAUUGUUCAUACAGGAUAACAAUAUUGAAUUCUGGAGAAAUUUUUGGCCGAGUACUUAGCUCCUUGUGCUAAGAAGAGGUGGUGCGUUUCUAGUAUGGAAGUGGCCCACAAAUAACUGGAGUUUUUUCUCAGCCACUUUUGACCGUUAUCGGUCUAUGCCUGUAGUAGCUAAUUACGCUCAAGGAAUGAAGAACAUCCAUCUUAGAACUGAUUUCAAGACCAGAACAACUAUUACAGCAGCUGCUACCUUAGCUCCAUGGAUGAUAUCUGGGAUGAAUCAGCAUACGGUGAAUAUUUCCUUGCAGUUUCACCGGUUAGAAAGAUGUUCAUGGGAAGAUGUCUCAAAGCGAUGUUUCAUCCGCCAUCCUUAUCGAAUAUGAUGAGGAAGUUGAUUUUCCGAGUAUCUCCUUGCAAAGGAUUGCAUUAUCAUUUAGUCCACUAACGAAUUGCAGAAACGGAGUUUGAAGCAUGUCUCGAGCAUCGUCCGAAGGAGCCAGCAUGUCUCGACAAGUUGGCAUAAAACAUCUAACAGGUCAAGAGUCAAGACAUAACAAAGACUGGUUUCCGUUUUCAGUUAAAGAUUAUGACCAUGAUCCGCAUCAAUGUACACCCGAACAAUAAACCAGAAAUCAAAUGAAUCCAAUAAAUAUAAAUUACUUUAAGUAGCUAUAAA